RNAcentral lists this transfer RNA (71 nucleotides) under Cylindrophis ruffus (red-tailed pipe snake). RNAcentral's name for it is "tRNA-Leu specifying CUN codons". It matches the Rfam family "tRNA". Rfam says of the family: Transfer RNA (tRNA) molecules are approximately 80 nucleotides in length. Their secondary structure includes four short double-helical elements and three loops (D, anti-codon, and T loops). The record is from RNAcentral. Lineage: Eukaryota; Metazoa; Chordata; Lepidosauria; Squamata; Cylindrophiidae.
UCUAUUAAAGGAUAAUAGCCUUCCAUUGGUCUUAGGCACCAAAACUCUUGGUGCAAAUCCAAGUAGUAGAA